RNAcentral lists this ribosomal RNA (219 nucleotides) under Triticum aestivum (bread wheat). RNAcentral describes it as "partial small subunit ribosomal RNA". Lineage: Eukaryota; Viridiplantae; Streptophyta; Magnoliopsida; Poales; Poaceae. The record is from RNAcentral.
AUCUGGAGCGCACGAGUUCCCCUUAAGAUUAAAAUCUUCCUAUGGCAAGCGUUUCAUGGCAGGUUGCCUGCUGCUGAUCAGAUUCGCGAACGGAACGGACCUGGUUCGGAUAGGUGUGCUUUGUGUGGUGUGCUCGAAGAUAUGGAGCAUAUCUUGUUCUAGUGCUCCCUGGCCGAAUUUGUGUGGUGCUGUAUCAGGUCAUGGCUUCACUUAUCUUAG